GAUGAACGCUGGCGGCGUGCCUAAUACAUGCCAGUCGAGCGAACAGACGAGGAGCUUGCUCCUCUGACGUUAGCGGCGGACGGGUGAGUAACACGUGGAUAACCUACCUAUAAGACUGGGAUAACUUCGGGAAACCGGAGCUAAUACCGGAUAAUAUAUUGAACCGCAUGGUUCAAUAGUGAAAGACGGUUUUGCUGUCACUUAUAGAUGGAUCCGCGCCGCAUUAGCUAGUUGGUAAGGUAACGGCUUACCAAGGCAACGAUGCGUAGCCGACCUGAGAGGGUGAUCGGCCACACUGGAACUGAGACACGGUCAAGACUACUACGGGAGGAAGCAGUAGGGAAUGUUCCGCAAUGGGCGAAAGCCUGACGGAGCAACGCCGCGUGAGUGAUGAAGGUCUUCGGAUCGUAAAACUCUGUUAUUAGGGAAGAACAAAUGUGUAAGUAACUAUGCACGUAUUGACGGUACCUAAUGAGAAAGCCACGGCUAACUACGUG
Molecule: ribosomal RNA, 497 nt
Filed under: uncultured bacterium
Lineage: Bacteria
Description: partial 16S ribosomal RNA
Rfam family: Bacterial small subunit ribosomal RNA
Source: RNAcentral